UCCCUCAUUUUCACACCGUACAUUCCAGCCUCCAUCGUCGUUCCAUACAUUCCAAACAAUCAGAACCCUAAUCUUCUAGCCUCCAUCGUCGUUCUUCACAUUUUGUGCAGAUCGAAGAGUUUCACAAUCACGAAACCCUAGCCCUCAUCAUCUUCCCUGUUUUGAUUCAAAUGUAAACCCUAUAUCGCUCAUCCUCCUCUGCUGAUUCUCUCAUUCAUCGUCCUCAUACUCUCUAUCAUCUAAAGUUCCUAUUAUUGUGUCCCAGUUAUAAAGAUCCGGUUUCAAGCUACGAAGCUUUUCAUUAAUAUUCAGUCUCAAAUCUGGAGGCUUAUUUGAAAGAUUGAAUGCUGGUAUCUGAAUAGAUCUUCAUGUGGCUGAAGAAGAUCGUUUGAUUUGUAGAUGAAGAAGAUCAGUAAAAUGAGGCUUGCUGGAUACAUUGAAACUAUGAGCGAGUGAAGGUUAGUUUGGAUGCAAUGUUCGGGCUGCGGAUAAAAAGAAUUUGUAUGGGUGCACAAAGUUGUUCCUUGGAGAAAUUGCACAAGAUAUUCAAAUUGUAGAGGGAUUUGCUAAGAUGCUUUAUAUACAACAAAUAGUUGUUGUUGGUAGAUUACCAAAGUUGAAUGUAUAUUAUCUCACAAAAGAUAGAUGGCACUGGAUGUAUGUAAAUAUUGAAUUGAAAUCCCAGUUGGAAUUAUAGUUUAUAUUUUACUUUGGUUAUAAAUUAGACAUUCAGAGUUAAUUGGCCACAGAAGGAUGAGGCCGAGAGCGAAGCUAUUUCGGGGAUCGGGAGUUGAAUGGUUCGAGAACCAAGAAUCGUGGUUCAAACCACCAGUGAUAUUGAUGUUCUUAGUGGGUUUAGAAAUUAGGGGUUUAGACAUUCUUUAGAAGAAAUUUUGUAAUUUUAAAUUAGCCAUAUUUUGGUGGGUUUAAAAAAUUAAGGUUUCGACCGUUUUUUUAGAAGAAGUUUGGUAAUUUGUUUUGCUGUAUUGUAUAUGUCUACGUUUACUAUUUGAUUGCCAUAAUUUCCUUUAAAUUUUC
This 1038-nucleotide long non-coding RNA is filed under the name Helianthus annuus (common sunflower). The record is from RNAcentral. Lineage: Eukaryota; Viridiplantae; Streptophyta; Magnoliopsida; Asterales; Asteraceae.